CAUGGCUCAGGAUGAACGCUAGCGGCAGGCCUAACACAUGCAAGUCGAGGGAUAAGCUUUCGGGCUGAAACCGGCGUACGGGUGCGUAACGCGUAUACAAUCUGCCUUUCACAGGGGGAUAGCCCGAAGAAAUUUGGAUUAAUACCCCAUAGAAUAAUGGUGUGGCAUCAUAUUAUUAUUAAAGCUACGGUGGUGAAAGAUGAGUAUGCGUUCUAUUAGCUAGUUGGAGAGGUAACGGCUCCCCAAGGCAACGAUAGAUAGGGGUUCUGAGAGGGAUGUCCCCCACACUGGUACUGAGAUACGGACCAGACUCCUACGG
Molecule: ribosomal RNA, 319 nt
Filed under: uncultured bacterium
Lineage: Bacteria
Description: bacterial SSU rRNA
Rfam family: Bacterial small subunit ribosomal RNA
Source: RNAcentral